AAACAAACAAAGAAAGAUACUUGCUGCAAUUGUUGUAUUAUUCCUUUCUUUCAUAUGGCUCUGUGAAAAGACAAGGGGAUGGAUUCUGCUCUCAGCUAAACAGGUUUGUGCCUUACUGCUCAAGUGAUAUCUGGAGUGGAACUUUGCCCAAGUCACAGCAAGGUAGGCAGCCAUCUUUAUGACACUACCCGCUUCUAGCAGAUCCUUUGACUCAGUCAGUGUUAACUCUGACUUUUUCUUCUAGCAGACUAUGCCUUCAUGGGAUCUCUAAUUAUCCAGGAGGUGAUUAAAGACCUGGUUCCUAAGGGAAUUAAGCAAGCUAAAGUGGUCCUGCUUGCUGGGGAAAGGAUGUGGAAUGGAAUCCUUCCAGAAGAAUGUAAACAGAAGUUCAAGAGAGUUAACGAGUGGCAGUGCCUCCUUGGGUAUAGAUUGUAUUCAUCCUUGAAAUAGCUGUGUUUG
RNAcentral lists this long non-coding RNA (459 nucleotides) under Gopherus agassizii (Agassiz's desert tortoise). RNAcentral's name for it is "lncRNA (ENSGAGG00000013991.1)". Lineage: Eukaryota; Metazoa; Chordata; Testudines; Testudinidae. The record is from RNAcentral.